RNAcentral lists this ribosomal RNA (753 nucleotides) under uncultured Flexibacter sp. RNAcentral describes it as "bacterial SSU rRNA". It matches the Rfam family "Bacterial small subunit ribosomal RNA", at positions 348 to 1106 of the family's 1533-position model. The record is from RNAcentral. Lineage: Bacteria; Pseudomonadati; Bacteroidota; Cytophagia; Cytophagales; Flexibacteraceae.
CGANCUAAGCUGAAUAUUGGCGACUGGGCAUCAGCCUCGACGAUCCAUGCCGGCUAGCGUCUACCGGNCUUCUGGGUUGUAAACUGCUUUAUCAGGGAACAAAAAGGCCAUGCGUGGCAAACUGAGUGUUUCCUGAAGAAUAAGCACCGGCUAAUCCGUGCCAGCAGCCGCGGUAAUACGGAGGGUGCAAGCGUUGUCCGGAUUUAUUGGGUUUAAAAGGUGCGUAGGCGGCUUUUUAAGUCAGUGGUGAAAUCCUGCAGCUCAACUGUAGAACUCCCAUUGAUACUGGAGAGCUUGAGUACAGACGAGGUAGGCCGGAAUUUAUGGUGUAGGGGUGAAAGGCAUAGAUACCAUAAAGAACACCUAUAGCGAAGGCAGCUUACUAGACUGUAACUGACGCUGAGGCACGUUAAGCGUGGGGAGCGAACAGGAUUAGAUACCCUGGUAGCCACGCUGUAAACGAUGAUUACUCGAUGUGUGCGAUAUAAUGUACGCGUCCAAGCGAAAAGCGUUAAGUAAUCCACCUGGGGAGUACGCUCGCAAGAGUGAAACUCAAAGGAAUUUGACGGGGGUCCGCACAAGCGGUGUGAGCAUGUGGUUUAAUUCGAUGAUCGCGAGGAACCUUACCUGGGCUAGAAUGUGAGCGCAAUCCCCAGAGAUGGGGAGUUCUUCGGACGUGAAACAAGGUGCUGCAUGGCUGCGUCAGCUCGUGCCGUGAGGUGUUGGGUUAGUCCCGCAACGAGCGCAACCCCU